RNAcentral lists this ribosomal RNA (414 nucleotides) under uncultured eukaryote. RNAcentral's name for it is "bacterial SSU rRNA". It matches the Rfam family "Eukaryotic small subunit ribosomal RNA", at positions 12 to 426 of the family's 1831-position model. The record is from RNAcentral.
UCCUGCCAGUAGUCAUAUGCUUGUCUCAAAGAUUAAGCCAUGCACGUCUAAGGAUAAAUAUUAUUUAACCAUAAACCUGCGAAAGGCUCAUUAAAUCAGUAAUAAUCUAUUCUAUUAUUUAAUCCUAUUUGGAUAACUGUAGUAAUUCUAGAGCUAAUACAUGCAAAAAACCUGGACUUUUACAGAACAGGUGUACUUAUUAGACUUUAAAACCGAUUACAAUUUAUUGUAAAUUUAAAUGAAUUAAAAUAAGUUUAUGAAUCGCAGAUCAUUUUGUGAUGAUAAGAAUGAAUUUCUGCCCUAUCAACUUUCGAUGGUAAUGUAGUGGAUUACCAUGGUGAUGACGGGUAACGGGGAUUAGGGUUUGAUUCCGGAGAAAAGGCCUGAGAGACGGCCAUUACUUCUAAGGAAGGC